UUUAUUGGAAAGUGGCGAACGGGUGAGUAACACGUAGGUAACCUGCCUCGGAGUGGGGGAUAACCAUUGGAAACGAUGGCUAAUACCGCAUAUUCUAUUUUAAUGGGAAUUAGAGUGGAUAAAGUUACGGCGCUUCGAGAGGGGCCUGCGGCCGAUUAGCUAGUUGGUGAGGUAAAGGCUCACCAAGGCGGAGAUCGGUAGCUGGUCUGAGAGGACGAUCAGUCACACGGGAACUGAGACACGGUCCCGACUCCUACGGGGGGCAGCAGUGAGGAAUAUUGCACAAUGGGGGGAACCCUGAUGCAGCAACGCCGCGUGAAGGAAGACGGUCUUUGGAUUGUAAACUUCUUUUAACGGGGAAGAGGAAGGACGGUACCCGUUGAAUAAGUCACGGCUAACUACGUGCCAGCAGCCGCGGUAAUACGUAGGUGGCGAGCGUUAUCCGGAAUUAUUGGGCGUAAAGGGCGCGUAGGCGGCCAUUUAAGUUUGACGUGAAAGCUCCUGGCUUAACUGGGAGAGGUCGUUGGAAACUGAAUGGCUUGAGGCAAUGAGAGGGGUGCGGAAUUCCCGGUGUAGUGGUGAAAUGCGUAGAGAUCUGAAGGAACAUCAGUGGCGAAGGCGACUCACUGGGCCAUUACUGACACUGAGGUGCGAAAGUCGUGGGUAGCAAGCAGGAUUAGAUACCCUGGUAGUCCACGCCCUAAACGAUGUC
This 712-nucleotide ribosomal RNA is filed under the name uncultured bacterium. RNAcentral describes it as "bacterial SSU rRNA". It matches the Rfam family "Bacterial small subunit ribosomal RNA", at positions 84 to 813 of the family's 1533-position model. The record is from RNAcentral.